This 466-nucleotide ribosomal RNA is filed under the name uncultured Desulfomicrobium sp. Its description in RNAcentral is "bacterial SSU rRNA". It matches the Rfam family "Bacterial small subunit ribosomal RNA", at positions 338 to 795 of the family's 1533-position model. Lineage: Bacteria; Pseudomonadati; Thermodesulfobacteriota; Desulfovibrionia; Desulfovibrionales; Desulfomicrobiaceae. The record is from RNAcentral.
CCUACGGGUGGCAGCAGUGGGGAAUAUUGCGCAAUGGGCGAAAGCCUGACGCAGCAACGCCGUGUGAGGGAUGAAGGCUUUCGGGUCGUAAACCUCUGUCAGAAGGGAAGAACGGGUGGUGGUCUAAUAGGCCUCCAUUUUGACGGUACCUUCAGAGGAAGCACCGGCUAACUCCGUGCCAGCAGCCGCGGUAAUACGGAGGGUGCAAGCGUUAUUCGGAAUUACUGGGCGUAAAGCGCACGUAGGCCGCUUUGUAAGUCAGGGGUGAAAUCCCACGGCUCAACCGUGGAACUGCCCUUGAAACUGCGAAGCUUGAAUCCUGGAGAGGGUGGCGGAAUUCCUGGUGUAGGAGUGAAAUCCGUAGAUAUCAGGAGGAACACCGGUGGCGAAGGCGGCCACCUGGACAGGUAUUGACGCUGAGGUGCGAAAGUGUGGGGAGCAAACAGGAUUAGAUACCCUUGUAGUC